This 2710-nucleotide long non-coding RNA is filed under the name Homo sapiens (human). Its description in RNAcentral is "HSALNT0367511". Lineage: Eukaryota; Metazoa; Chordata; Mammalia; Primates; Hominidae. The record is from RNAcentral.
GUUAAACUGGAUCUCACUGGAUCCUUCACUGCUAAAGGGGUCCGAACGCAGCCCGGGAAAAGAAAGAAAGCAGGAUCCCCAUCGCAAGGGGGGAAGACACCGCCCACGAGUCGGGGACUGAGAGCCAGCCCCUCUUCCCCCGCUGGCUUAGGACCCCCACCGCGGAUUCUAAGAUCCUUAGCACCCACCUGGAGGACUGGGGGUUUUAGGUGUCCAAGAAGAAAGCUCAGACCUGCCGACCGCAGGACCUCCAUCGCAGCGGGGCAGGCACACACCGCGAGGCGGGAACUGAGAGCCAGCCCCUCCCACCUCUGGCUCUUAGGACUCACAUUGCAAGUGGGGGAGGCAUCCUCCGCGAGGCGCGGACUGAGAGCCAGCCCCUCUUCCCCCCCUGGCUCUAGGGACCCCCAUCGCAGGGGGUGGAGGCACCCCACGCGAUUCGGGGACUGAGAGCCAGCCCCUCUCCUUCCCCCUGCUCUUCGGACCCCCAUCGCAGGGCGGGGAGGCACCCACCGCGAGGCGGGGACUGAGAGCCAGCCCCUCUACCCCCCGUGGCUCUUAGGAGCCCCAUCGCAGGGUGGGAGGCCACCCGGCGAGGCGAGGAUUGAGAGCCAGCCCGUCUUCCCCCCUUGGCUCUUAGGAGCCCCAUCGCGGGUGGGGAAGGCACCCCCCGCGAGGCAGGGACUGAGAGCCAGCCUCUCUUCCUCCCGUGGCUCUUAGGACCCCCAUCGCAGUGGGGGGAGGCACCCCCCGCGAGGCGGGGACUGAGAGCAAGCCCAUUUCCCCCCCCCCCGGCUCUUAGGACACCCAACGCAGAGGGGGGAGGCACCCCCUGCGAGGCAGGAACUGAGAGCCAGACCCACUUCUCCCCGGCUCUUGGGAUCCCCAUCGCGGGGAGGGGAGGCACCCCACACGAGGCGGGGACUGAGAGCCAGCCCCUCUUCCCCCCCUGGCUAUUAGGACCCCCAUCGCAGGGGGGAGAGGCACCCCCCGAGAGGCAGGGACGGAGAGCCUGCACCUCUUCCCCCACGGGCUCUUAGGACCCCCAUCGCAGGCGCUUCGCACCCCACGCGAGGCGGGUACUGAGAGCCAGCUCCUCUUUCCCCCGUCUCUUAGGACUGCCAUCGCAGAGGGGGAGGUAACCCCCGCCAGGCAGGGACUGACAGCCAGCCCCUCUUCACCUCUGGCUCUUAGGCCCCCAUCGCAGAGUGGGGAGGCACCACAUGCGAGGCGGGGACUGCGAGCCAGCCCCACUUCCCCCCUGGCUCUUGGGACCACCAUCGCAGUGGGGGGAGGUACACCCCGCGAGGCGGGGACGGAGAGUCAGCCCCUCUUCCCCCACUGGCUCUUGGGAACCCCAUCGCAAGGGGGAGAGGCACCCUCCGCGACGCGGGGACUGAGAGACAGCCCCUCUUCCCCCCCUGGCUCUAGGGACCCCCAUCGCAGGGGGUGGAGGCACCCCACGCGAUGCGGGGACUGAGAGCCAGCCCCUCUCCGCCCCCCCCGACCCCGCCCGGGUCUUCGGACCCCCAUCGCAGUGGGGGGAGGCACCCCAUGCGAGGCGGGGUCUGACAGCCAAACCCUCUUCCCCCUCUGGCUCUUAUGACCCCCAUAGCAAGGGGGGAGGCACCCCCCGCGAGGCGGGGACUAGAGCCAGCCCCUCUUCCCACCCUGGCUUAGGACCCCCAUCGCGGAUCCUAAGAUCCUUAGGACCCAACUGGAGGACUGUGGGUAUUAGGUGUCCAAGAAGAAAGCUCAGAUCUGCCGACCGCAGGUACCUUACUUGGGAUUUACUAUACCACAGGGGUCCGAACGCAGCCCGGGAUCAGGAAGAAAGCAGGUCGUUUGCAAUCUACCGGAGCCUAAGGGCAGAAGGCAGGAUCGUGGGAACAAUAUCCCAGGGGGGUUUCCACUUUCUGCCAUAUAUGUAGUCACAUCGCCCACUCCGCCUUGGAAUAUUAUUAAGGACCAUCUAACACGAGGGUGUAUACGUCCUGCGAUAUUACGAGUAAUAUCAACUUCUUGGCCUCUGAAUAUGAGGAAGAAUAUCACAGGGGGUCCGAAUGCAGCCCGGGAUCACAAAGAAAGCAGGUCGUUUGCAAUCUACCAGAGCCUAAGGGCAGAAGGCAGGAUCGUGGGAACAAUAUCCCAUGGGGGUGUACCCUUUCUGCCAUAUAUGUAGUCACAUCACCCACUCCGCCUUGGAAUAUUAUUAAGGACCAUCUAACACGAGGGUGUAUACGUCCUGUGAUAUUGGGAGUAAUAUCAACUUCUCGGCCUCUGAAUAUGAGGAAGAAUAUCACAGGGAUAUUAAUAACAAUUUCACAGGCUGGGUGAACACAGCCGGCGAUGCUGAAAUUAUUAUCAUCCUCUCCCCCUCUUCCCCUCCUGGCUCUCAGUCCCCGCCUCACGGGUUAUGUAGCGGGUUAUGGCAAGAAGACAAACUGCAGUUUCCUGCACAGAACAGCACAAACAAUGAUCCAAGCUCAGUUACAACACAAUAUUGGUCAUCAUUUGACCAUGGACUUCAAUAUCAACCCUUAGAAACCUUCCUAAAACAGGUCAGCAAAACACCAAGAAGCAAUAUCCUGAAUGAUAGGAAAAUAUCCUUGCUUGUGCAAAUUGUUUCCACUUAAUUUUUUUCAACAAAUGUUAAUUAUAUUUUUACUUUCUAAAAAUUUUUAAUAAAAUAUAGCCUACUUGGUUAAAA